This 76-nucleotide transfer RNA is filed under the name Pseudomonadota bacterium. Its description in RNAcentral is "Proteobacteria bacterium tRNA-Thr". It matches the Rfam family "tRNA". Rfam says of the family: Transfer RNA (tRNA) molecules are approximately 80 nucleotides in length. Their secondary structure includes four short double-helical elements and three loops (D, anti-codon, and T loops). Lineage: Bacteria; Pseudomonadati; Pseudomonadota. The record is from RNAcentral.
GCCACCGUAGCUCAGAUGGUAGAGCAGCUGAUUCGUAAUCAGCAGGCCCGCGGUUCGAGUCCGCGCGGUGGCUCCA